AGUGGGAGCCUCUUAAUGGGGUGACUGCGUACCUUUUGUAUAAUGGGUCAGCGACUUAUAUUCUGUAGCAAGGUUAACCGAAUAGGGGAGCCGAAGGGAAACCGAGUCUUAACUGGGCGUUAAGUUGCAGGGUAUAGACCCGAAACCCGGUGAUCUAGCCAUGGGCAGGUUGAAGGUUGGGUAACACUAACUGGAGGACCGAACCGACUAAUGUUGAAAAAUUAGCGGAUGACUUGUGGCUGGGGGUGAAAGGCCAAUCAAACCGGGAGAUAGCUGGUUCUCCCCGAAAGCUAUUUAGGUAGCGCCUCGUGAAUUCAUCUCCGGGGGUAGAGCACUGUUUCGGCAAGGGGGUCAUCCCGACUUACCAACCCGAUGCAAACUGCGAAUACCGGAGAAUGUUAUCACGGGAGACACACGGCGGGUGCUAACGUCCGUCGUGAAGAGGGAAACAACCCAGACCGCCAGCUAAGGUCCCAAAGUCAUGGUUAAGUGGGAAACGAUGUGGGAAGGCCCAGACAGCCAGGAUGUUGGCUUAGAAGCAGCCAUCAUUUAAAGAAAGCGUAAUAGCUCACUGGUCGAGUCGGCCUGCGCGGAAGAUGUAACGGGGCUAAACCAUG
Molecule: ribosomal RNA, 617 nt
Filed under: Escherichia coli
Lineage: Bacteria; Pseudomonadati; Pseudomonadota; Gammaproteobacteria; Enterobacterales; Enterobacteriaceae
Description: partial 23S ribosomal RNA
Rfam family: Bacterial large subunit ribosomal RNA
Source: RNAcentral